CUUUGAGCACCACUGAAAGGGAAAUGGCAGGGGAUGGACCAACGGUGACCAUGAAGCUGCCUUCAGGAUGACGUAGGGAGGUUCUGAGCCUGAGUCCCCAGUCAUCUCAAACAGAUGUCACACCAUGGGGGAUGAUUAGCCUCCCCUGCUCCAGAAUGUUCUGAAACAACAAAAGGGUGAAUUGUGACACAUCAGAAAAUAAAAAAGGCAGGCCCAUUUCUAAGGCACGACUCCCAGCCAGUGGAACAGACCAGCUGGCCCAGCUCAUCGAUGAGAGAUGCUAUUUGAGUUGUCAUUUCCGUUGCCAGGCCUCACAUCUGUAGCUUGGGAUGCGCCCACUUGUCUCUGGGAUCUGCAUCUGCUCCUGGAGCUCAUUCAAAGGGAACGGCUCUCGGAAUCAAGGUCCACUGUGGAGAAAGAUGGCCUUUCCUCUGUCCAGUGGGGAGUCUUCUCCUUGGGUGCCGCCUCUGGACAUCUUGGAACCUGGAAGAAUUUGUCAUAGAAGCAAUGACAAUCUUGUCAUAGAAGCAGUGGGGAUCAGAGCAAGAAAUGAACCAAUAUAUCAUCUGGACUGACUCCUGUGUCGUAUAGAUAGGAAACUGAGACACAGAGAGGAAAAGAAGUUCCAGGCAUCAGUGUUUUGGGGCCACUGGCAUAAACAGUGAACGGCUUGGCGUAAAACCAGAGUCCAGUUGCUGAAGGACUGCUUCACUCCACUAAACACCCUAUAUCUCCUUAUAAAGUAAAGGGUAGAGGGGAAAAAGGGACAUUUUUGGAAUUAAGAGCAUUAUGCACACCUAUAUAUUUACUAAUCAUGGAGGCCAGUUAAUGUAGUAAGUUUGGGAGAUUGGGACCCUGGGGGCCAAACUUCGAGUCUCAUCUCUACCCUGUUCUAGCUGGAUGACUUUGAGUGAAGAACCCAUCUCCAAGACUCUGUUUCUUUACCUGUAGUAUGGGUUUGAUACCUGUGCCUAUUCUGUGGAGUUGUUAUAAGGAUAAAGUGAGUUGAUA
Lutra lutra (Eurasian river otter) is the source of this 1011-nucleotide long non-coding RNA. RefSeq lists it as uncharacterized. NCBI's taxonomy places the organism in Eukaryota, Metazoa, Chordata, Mammalia, Carnivora, Mustelidae. The record is from RefSeq and is a predicted model, not a curated record. The transcript is spliced from 3 exons.